GACGAACGCUGGCGGCGUGCCUAAUACAUGCAAGUUGAGCGCUGAAGGUUGGUACUUGUACCGACUGGAUGAGCAGCGAACGGGUGAGUAACGCGUGGGGAAUCUGCCUUUGAGCGGGGGACAACAUUUGGAAACGAAUGCUAAUACCGCAUAACAACUUUAAACACAAGUUUUAAGUUUGAAAGAUGCAAUUGCAUCACUCAAAGAUGAUCCCGCGUUGUAUUAGCUAGUUGGUGAGGUAAAGGCAGACCAAGGCGAUGAUACAUAGCCGAACUGAGAGGGGGAUCGGCCACAUUGGGACUGAGACACGGCCCAAACUCCUACGGGAGGCAGCAGUAGGGAAUCUUCGGCAAUGGACGAAAGUCUGAACGAGCAACGCCGCGUGAGUGAAGAAGGUUUUCGGAUCGUAAAACUAUGUUGGUAGAGAAGAACGUUGGUGAGAGUGGAAAGCUCAUCAAGUGACGGUAACUACCCAGAAAGGGACGGCUAACUACGUGCCAGCCGCCGCUGUAA
This 513-nucleotide ribosomal RNA is filed under the name uncultured bacterium. RNAcentral's name for it is "partial 16S ribosomal RNA". It matches the Rfam family "Bacterial small subunit ribosomal RNA", at positions 28 to 523 of the family's 1533-position model. The record is from RNAcentral.